UUUAGCUUUAACGGUAUUGUGCCAGUCUAAAUCAUUGUCAUUGUUGAAUUCCGUCUGGGAAUGGAUCAUUGUGCAAAGACCUAGUGUUUUAAAGAACUUGAGGUUUGUUGUUGGUGAUUUUGAUCCACUCUUAUUAAGGUCAGUACGUGAGUCAAUGCCAGGGGUUCAGCGUAAAGGUUCCUGGAUCCACAUUGCUCGGACUUAUACGAUGAUUUAACUACAGCCGGAGAACUAAUUCCGAGUGACGUGCGGGAUUUUCCUGUACAACAUGAUACCAGUACUGUACAACACCCCACAGAUAAUGCGAGUGUACAACAGGUUACCAGGACUGUAUAAAACUCCACAGAUAAUGCGAGUGUACAACAUGAUACCAGGACUGUACAACACCCCACAGAUAAUGCGAGUGUACCACAUGAUACCAGUACUGUACAACACCCCACAGAUAAUGCGAGUGUACAACAGGUUACCAGGACUGUACAACACCCCACAGAUAAUGCGAGUGUACAACAUGAUACCAGUACUGUACAACACCCCACAGAUAAUGCGAGUGUACAACAGGUUACCAGGACUGUACAACAUCCCACAGAUAAUGCGAGUGUACAAGCACUGGCAGCUGUAGAAGAAAAUUAAUCGCAGUCACGAGGGACCGCAGAAUCUGCAAUAAGGCCCGCAGUAAAUAAUAGAAAUGAGCAAGAUAAAAUUUUAAUUGACGAUGAUGAUGAUGAUGACCAUUAUGCAAAUGAACUUAUUUUGAUUGAUGAACCUGAAGAAGGGCCUUGGAUCCACGCAAGUGCCGAAGGGGUGCAGUUUCAUGAUACAGUUGCAUCAGACAGCGAUCCAACUUGCAGUUCAUGUGUUACCAACCGUCCGGUCAUAGCGUGUUGUCCUUGUGGGCAUCAGUGCUUGUGUUUCGAAUGCAAAUUCAAACUGAUAAGAGCACACAGUGAACGAGCGUCACGUAUCACGAAUUAUAAAAUUCCUUGUCCUAUGUGCAAGCAACCAGUCUCGGAUUUUAUUCGAGUUCAUAUUCCGUGAUUGGAUAAUUUAUUUUUUAUUCUAUUUUUCUUCAUAAGUGCCUUAAAAAGAAAGCCUAAACCGUGUCCAAAAGCUCCCACAUUAUUCACUGAAAUAGGAAAUUUUGGCUAAGGCAGAAUAAUUUUCCUUCAUACAUAUUUUUUUUUAAUGGAAAAAUUUGUUUCUAUGUUUUUUAUUUAAUUUAUAUUGAAAAAUAAGCUUUCUUCUUUUAUGCAACCUUAUCCUAACAAAAAAUAUUUUUUUUAUAAUUUUCUGUUUAUU
This is a long non-coding RNA of Microplitis mediator, 1296 nucleotides long. RefSeq lists it as uncharacterized. The transcript is spliced from 4 exons. Lineage: Eukaryota; Metazoa; Arthropoda; Insecta; Hymenoptera; Braconidae. The record is from RefSeq and is a predicted model, not a curated record.